GAUGAAGAACGUAGCGAAAUGAGAUACUUGGUGUGAAUUGCAGAAUCCCGUGAACCAUCGAGUCUUUGAACGCAAGUUGCGCCCGAAGCCUCGGCUAAGGGCACGUCUGCCUGGGCGUCACGCAUCGCGUCUCCCCCAAACCGCCAAGGCGGAGGGGAAGGAAGAUGGCUUCCCGUGCCUCACCCGGCGCGGUUGGCCUAAAUUUGGAGCCCGCGGCACUUAGCUCACGCGGCGAUAGGUGGUGAACAAGGCCUUGGCCGUGCAAACAACCCGCUGCGAAGCUCUAUGUCACGUGCGCUCGUCGGACCCUUUGAAGUUGCCUUCGGUGACUUAAAACCUUUGCGACCCCAGGUCAGGCGGGGCUACCCGCUGAAUUUAAGCAUAUCAAUAAGCGGAGGA
Molecule: unclassified non-coding RNA, 399 nt
Filed under: soil metagenome
Description: partial contains 5.8S ribosomal RNA, internal transcribed spacer 2, and large subunit ribosomal RNA
Rfam family: 5.8S ribosomal RNA (bases 1-120)
Source: RNAcentral